RNAcentral lists this ribosomal RNA (468 nucleotides) under uncultured bacterium. RNAcentral's name for it is "partial 16S ribosomal RNA". It matches the Rfam family "Bacterial small subunit ribosomal RNA", at positions 28 to 507 of the family's 1533-position model. The record is from RNAcentral.
GACGAACGCUGGCGGCGUGCUUUACACAUGCAAGUCGAACGGAGAGGCCCUGCUUUUGUGGGGUGCUCGAGUGGCGAACGGGUGAGUAACACGUGAGUAACCUGCCCUUGACUUUGGGAUAACUUCAGGAAACUGGGGCUAAUACCGGAUAGGAGCUCCUGCUGCAUGGUGGGGGUUGGAAAGUUUCGGCGGUUGGGGAUGGACUCGCGGCUUAUCAGCUUGUUGGUGGGGUAGUGGCUUACCAAGGCUUUGACGGGUAGCCGGCCUGAGAGGGUGACCGGCCACAUUGGGACUGAGAUACGGCCCAGACUCCUACGGGAGGCAGCAGUGGGGAAUAUUGCACAAUGGGCGGAAGCCUGAUGCAGCAACGCCGCGUGCGGGAUGACGGCCUUCGGGUUGUAAACCGCUUUCGCCUGUGACGAAGCGUGAGUGACGGUAAUGGGUAAAGAAGCACCGGCUAACUACGUG